UGGGCUACCCAUGGGCGCAGCCUGAUGCAGCCAUGCCGCGUGAGUGAUGAAGGCCUUCGGGUUGUAAAGCUCUUUCGUUGGGACGAAGCUCUCCGGGCUAAUACCCUACACUUUUGACGUUUCCCUGCAAACAACCCCGGGCUUACUUCGUGCCCGCGCCCUGUUUAAUACUUAAUGGGGCUAACGUUUUCCGAAAUUAUUGGGCUUAUCGCGCGUGUAGGCGGUUGGCUAAUUCGGAUGUGAAACCCCCGGACUCAACCUGGGAACUGCAUUAAAAACUGGUGGACUUGAUUGUGGAAAAGGGAGGUGGAAUUCCCUUUGUAAGGGUGAAAUUGGUGAAAGUGGGGAGGAGGCCCGGUGCCGAAGGUGACCUCCUGAACCGUGGCGGACCCUAAGGAUU
This 400-nucleotide ribosomal RNA is filed under the name uncultured bacterium. Its description in RNAcentral is "bacterial SSU rRNA". It matches the Rfam family "Bacterial small subunit ribosomal RNA", at positions 359 to 753 of the family's 1533-position model. The record is from RNAcentral.